GACGAACGCUGGCGGCGUGCCUAAUACAUGCAAGUCGAGCGAAGUUUUUCUGGUGCUUGCACUAAAAAAACUUAGCGGCGAACGGGUGAGUAACACGUAAAGAACCUGCCUCAUAGACUGGGACAACUAUUGGAAACGAUAGCUAAUACCGGAUAACAGUAUUUCUCGCAUGAGAGAUAUUUAAAAGUUGGUUAUGCUAACACUAUGAGAUGGCUUUGCGGUGCAUUAGCUAGUUGGUGGGGUAAAGGCCCACCAAGGCGACGAUGCAUAGCCGACCUGAGAGGGUGAUCGGCCACACUGGGACUGAGACACGGCCCAGACUCCUACGGGAGGCAGCAGUAGGGAAUCUUCCGCAAUGGGCGAAAGCCUGACGGAGCAACGCCGCGUGAGUGAAGAAGGAUUUCGGUUCGUAAAGCUCUGUUGUUAGGGAAGAAUGGAUAUGUAGUAACUAUACAUGUAAGAGACGGUACCUAACCAGAAAGCCACGGCUAACUACGUG
Molecule: ribosomal RNA, 499 nt
Filed under: uncultured bacterium
Lineage: Bacteria
Description: partial 16S ribosomal RNA
Rfam family: Bacterial small subunit ribosomal RNA
Source: RNAcentral